Long non-coding RNA from Homo sapiens (human), 1834 nucleotides. Ensembl annotates it as profilin 1 pseudogene 2. Its record names the gene PFN1P2. The record is from Ensembl. NCBI's taxonomy places the organism in Eukaryota, Metazoa, Chordata, Mammalia, Primates, Hominidae.
CGGACGGGACCUGUUAGGACACUGCCAUUGUGGGCAACAAGGACCCGCCUUCCAUCUGGGCCGCCGUCCCAGGGAAAACCUUCCUCAACAUCACGCCAGCUGAGGUUGGUGUCCUGGUUGGCAAAGACUGGUCAAGCUUUGUCAUGAAUGGGCUGACACUGGGGGGCCAGAAAUAUACUGUGGUCCUGGACUCACUGCUGCAGGAUGGGGAAUUGACCACGGAUCUUCGUAUGAAGAGCAUCGGUGGAGCCCCCACCUUCAACGUCAUUGUCACCAUGACUGCCAAGACGCUAGGCCUGCUGAUGGGCAAAGAAGGUAUCCAUGGCAAUUUCAUCGACAAGUAAUGUUAUGAAAUGGCCUCCCACCUUCAGCGUUCCCAGUACUGACCUCCUUUGUUCCUUCCACUCCACCGCUCCCCACAGCUUUGCCCGCCUUUCCUUCACAUACACACACCAUUUUAAUUUCAGGAGUCAUUACUCCACACACCUUAUUGCUGCCAAAACCACAUGGGCUGGGGGCCAGGGAUAGAUGGACAGACACCUUCCCCCACCCAUACCCCUCCUGUGUGUGGCUGGAAAACUUUUUUGUUUUGAUGGAUUUUUUAUGAAUAAAAAAGUUUCUACUAAAAAAAAUCAAUAACUGUACAUAUGUGGGCAUAUUGUUUGAGUCUGUAUUCUUUCACUUUGAUGUAUUUAUGAAUACUGACACCAUUACUACUGUUUUAAAAUUACUGUAGCUUUAAAAUCAGGUUUGAAAUCUAGCAGAGUAAGUCCUCCAACUUAUUGCUUCUUCAAUACCGACUUGCUUAUUCUAGGUUCUUUGAUUUUCAAAUACAUUUUGAAACUAGCUUUCAAAUUUCUCUAAAAUCUCCUACUAGAAAUAUUAAGCAGAAUUGUGUUGAUGUAAUAUGCUAACAAAAUUGAGUCUUCCAAGCAAUGAACAUGAUAUAUAUUUAUUUAGCCUUCUUUAAUUUUUCUCACCAAUUGCUUUUAGGGGCCUUGUACCUGCUUCAUUGCAUGUAUUGUUAAGCAUGUAAUGAUUCUGGCUGUUAAUCUCUAUUAUGUUUUAUUGAAUUUCAUUUUCUAGCUGCUAAUUGCUAGUAUGGAGAAAUUAAGAUGAUGAAAUCAACUUUAUAAAGGCAUAAUUUCGGUACAACAGACUGCACCACUUUAAAAUGUGUAAUUCAAUGCACGUUUACAAAUGGAUACACUAACGGAACUACUGCCACAACCAAGAUAGAGGAAAUUCCCUAUGCCCCAAAGUUUCUUGUACCCCUUUGCAGUUCAUCAGCCUUUCAACCCUCAGCCCCAAGGAGCCACUGUCACUUCAGGUCCGUUUGCAUUUUUAACCAUUUUCUAUAAAUGAAAUGAUACCUGUGUUCUUUUGUGUCUGCCUUCUUUCAUGCAUCAAUGUAAUUUUAAAAUCCAUCUGUAAUGUCUUGUAAAUACUGAGUAGUAUUCCUUCGUGUGGCUAUACCAUGUAUGUUUGUACUUUCACUUAUUAUUGGACAUUUCUAUCAUUCCACGUUUGGGCUAUUAUGAAGAAACUAUCAUGAGCAUCCAUACGUGGCAGGCCAGGUCUCACUAACACAGGCCUCCCUAACAACUGUUUCAGUACCGACUGAGUGGUUCAAUUAAAUAUUAAGAGGAAAAAAAAAAAAAAAGAAGCCAGUGCCCUUAUACAAAGGCUGGAAUGUAACAAAAGCCCACCAAGAGUUUUGCCUAGGUUUUUCCUGGGCCUUAAAGCAUGACGAAAUAACGAAGGCAUUCUUAACAGGAGCCAUUUAGUAUUAAACGAGUUUUAUUGGGGGUCUGAAGAAACUCCCCAGGCCUCC